GAGCCCGUGAAUCCGGGCGGCAGAAUUCAGAAUCGACGGGACGCGAGUUCCGUCUAUUUGAUAUUUCUGUCGCCAUACGCACGGACGUCGCGACCUGUUCGAUGUCGGUCCUUGUUCCAGGAACCGCGUUCGAGUUCGCUGUCGGAGUGCACGUUCGCGUGCGUUUCGACGACGAAGGCGCGGACUUCUGGCCGACUUGUCGGACAGUAGGUCAACGGGGGUGGCCGGCGUCGUCUUCGGACGRUGUCGGUGCCGGUCAGCGACGAAUCUUCGGGCCUCUUUCCGACC
Molecule: ribosomal RNA, 288 nt
Filed under: Eriochiton spinosus
Lineage: Eukaryota; Metazoa; Arthropoda; Insecta; Hemiptera; Eriococcidae
Description: partial 28S ribosomal RNA
Source: RNAcentral